UUUUUUUCCCUUCCUUUUUUGUAGGGAAGAGUUGCAUAUGAAAAUAGAGGUGAAUGCUUUUUCCUGCCGUACUCCGCAGACGAUAUUGAUGAAGCGGCAGAGUUGCAGCCUAGUGAUCGAGUCACAUUUCGAAUUGCUACUGAUAAAAAUACAGGAAACCUUAGGGCUUUUGAUAUUCGUUUGGAGAAACCUCCUCCUGCACGUUAUCAGGGUGUAAUUUGUGCACUAAAGGAAACAUUUGGUUUUAUUGAACGAGCAGAUGUAGUUAAAGAGAUAUUUUUUCAUUCCAGUGAAUGCAAAGCUUUUAAAAAUCUUAACCUUGGAGAUGAUGUGGAAUUUUCUGUACAGACAAGAAAUAACAAAGAGGUUGCAUGUAAUGUUGUCAACCUACCUUUGGGGACUGUAGUUUUUGAAGAU
Non-coding RNA from Parasteatoda tepidariorum (common house spider), 417 nucleotides. Lineage: Eukaryota; Metazoa; Arthropoda; Arachnida; Araneae; Theridiidae. The record is from RefSeq and is a predicted model, not a curated record.